RNAcentral lists this ribosomal RNA (429 nucleotides) under Chloroflexota bacterium. RNAcentral's name for it is "Chloroflexi bacterium partial 16S ribosomal RNA". It matches the Rfam family "Bacterial small subunit ribosomal RNA", at positions 355 to 776 of the family's 1533-position model. The record is from RNAcentral. Lineage: Bacteria; Bacillati; Chloroflexota.
UGGGGAAUAUUGCACAAUGGGCGCAAGCCUGAUGCAGCCAUGCCGCGUGUAUGAAGAAGGCCUUCGGGUUGUAAAGUACUUUCAGUCGGGAGGAAGGUGGUAAGGUUAAUAACCUUAUCAAUUGACGUUACCGACAGAAGAAGCACCGGCUAACUCCGUGCCAGCAGCCGCGGUACUACGGAGGGUGCAAGCGUUAAUCGGAAUUACUGGGCGUAAAGCGCACGCAGGCGGUUGAUUGAGUCAGAUGUGAAAUCCCCGGGCUUAACCCGGGAAUUACAUCUGAUACUGGUCAGCUAGAGGCUUGUAGAGGGGGGUAGAAUACCAUGUGUUGCAGUGAAAUGCGUAGAGGUGUGGAGGAAUAACGGUGGCGGAGGCGGCCCCCUGGUCAAAGACUGACGCUCAGGUGCGAAAGCGUGGGGAGCAGACAGG